CAGUAGCCGCGGUAAAACAGAGGGUGCGAGCGUUAAUCGGAUUUACUGGGCGUAAAGCGUGCGUAGGCGGCUUUUUAAGUCGGAUGUGAAAUCCCUGAGCUUAACUUAGGAAUUGCAUUCGAUACUGGGAAGCUAGAGUAUGGGAGAGGAUGGUAGAAUUCCAGGUGUAGCGGUGAAAUGCGUAGAGAUCUGGAGGAAUACCGAUGGCGAAGGCAGCCAUCUGGCCUAAUACUGACGCUGAGGUACGAAAGCAUGGGGAGCAAACAGGAUUAGAGACCCGAGUAGUCCCUGUCUCUUAUAC
RNAcentral lists this ribosomal RNA (301 nucleotides) under uncultured bacterium. RNAcentral's name for it is "partial 16S ribosomal RNA". It matches the Rfam family "Bacterial small subunit ribosomal RNA", at positions 509 to 807 of the family's 1533-position model. The record is from RNAcentral.